This 280-nucleotide ribosomal RNA is filed under the name uncultured bacterium. Its description in RNAcentral is "partial 16S ribosomal RNA". It matches the Rfam family "Bacterial small subunit ribosomal RNA", at positions 336 to 613 of the family's 1533-position model. The record is from RNAcentral.
UUCCUACGGGGCGCAGCAGUGAGGAAUAUUGGUCAAUGGGCGCGAGCCUGAACCAGCCAAGUAGCGUGAAGGAUGACUGCCCUACGGGUUGUAAACUUCUUUUAUAAAGGAAUAAAGUGAGCCACGUGUGCCUUAUUGUAUGUACUUUAUGAAUAAGGAUCGGCCAACUCCGUGCCAGCAGCCGCGGUAAUACGGAAGAUCCGGGCGUUAUCCGGAUUUAUUGGGUUUAAAGGGAGCGUAGAUGGGUUGUUAAGUCAGUUGUGAAAGGUUGCGGCUCAAC